Bactrocera tryoni is the source of this 629-nucleotide long non-coding RNA. RefSeq lists it as uncharacterized. NCBI's taxonomy places the organism in Eukaryota, Metazoa, Arthropoda, Insecta, Diptera, Tephritidae. The transcript is spliced from 5 exons. The record is from RefSeq and is a predicted model, not a curated record.
CUGGAUAUUAGCAAAGUUCUCUUUCCUCUUGAAUUUCAUCGCGUGCACAUGUGUUAAUUCUUCUUGAAGAUUGGUGGCCCUCGGAGACUGAAUUGACAAUGGAAAAGAUAAAAUCGAGAAUUGAAGGACGCAUUAUGAAAGUUUCCUGACUUAUUUUUGUUUAAAAAAAUUGGAAUGAAUAAAAAUGUAUCAACACAGUUACCUAACAACGUGUUAUGGAUUUCGAUAAAUCCCUCUUGAUGCAAUGCUCGCAUAAAAUGAUACUCAUGUAAACGGUAAUGGAUGUAAUGGAUUGACAUAGUAUCGCAACAUUGGGAAGGACAACCAGUCGAAAACGGUCAUUCACAUGUGAUCAUCGAGAACUUAAAAAGGCGUAUUCUUGAUUUUGGGAAAGGUGUCUUCAUAUUUGGUAUGCCCUUUACUAUGAUAGCAAUGAUGAAUUAAAGGUGUGUGUUGUACCAUGAAAUUAUUGUUUUAGAUUUUAUAUGAUGAAACCACAUGGCUUUUCCUUUUGCGGUUUCCACCAGAAGUUCGCUUAUGAUGGCUAGGAUUGUCUGAUUAAACAAAAACUUAUUAACACAUUUUUUAAACAUUUAUAUAUUAAAGGCUAAUAAAUUGUUUUCCUUCAA